UUGUAGAAUUAAUUAAUUAAUUUUUAAAAUCUAUAGAGAAAUAUCAUAGCCUGCAAAACAAACAAUCACAUACCACUUAUCACGACAAAAGAAAUAUCACAUCUAUCACAAAAAGAAAAGCAAAUGCAAUUUAAAAAAAAAAAUUAAAACAAAUGCGUACUUUGGUUAAGAACUGAAAAUUGAAUCAAUAGGAGAAUUGACACCACAGUUUCAGAUCUGUCUCUCACAAAUCAGUCUAAUUCUAAGCUAUGACCUUAAUUAUGUGAUCUCAUUCUUUGUGUAGACAUACACAAUAAACACAUGCACAAAAGGCUUCGAAUGAAUAAGCAGUAUAGGACGUAACAUAAACAAUUAAUCAAAUUAAAAUAUGAUAAAAUUGAUUUGAAAAUUAAUGUGAAAGCAAGCCUAAAAGUAUCGAUGAUUGAAAAUUCAAUUCUAAGCAUGCACCCCCAAGCUUAAUUAAAAUUAAUUUGAGUUUUGAUCGGUAGUAUCCAAAAAGAAAGAAAAGGAAAACACCGAAAAAAAGGUGGGCAAAGAUAUUGUCAUUACUCAUAAUUAAGACAAACUGUCAUGCCUGCUACAAAAUCAAGAUCCUCAAGUAUAUACUAGUUAUUAUUGCCUUUAAUUUGUUCUAAUGAAUUAUAUAUAUAUUUUUUGUAUAAGUUAUUAGUCCUUUCUUUUUCCUAGGUUAUUUUUAUUUUUACUUUUUUAUUUUUUUGAAAUAGGAAUUUUAUGGACGUGGGAAAAAAUAUAGGCAAAUUAAAUGUCUUGGGUUGGGUUUACGUACAUAAAUAUGACAGAAAAGCACCUGCGUCUACAGAGAUUAAAUAACACAUUCUUCAAUCUUUAUUAGCAUCAAAGCCAUCACCAACUAAGCAACAUCACAGCCAUGGACGAAGAAACCACUAAACCAUUUGAAUGGCCGAGUGUGAUCUUUCCUUUAUGUUUCACCUUGCCCUUUGAUUCAUGGCUUUAUCCUAUCCUUCAGUUAAAAGCGAUCCUUCUCGUUCAGUUUAUGUUGCUUUUUUUGCCCUUCUACUCGCGUUUCUUAUUCUUUUUGCUUCCAACUCAUCUCUGACAAACUUCCAUUUGCCUCACAAGUCAUGGAGAUAGUUUCUUAUCUACCAGGGCUGAAGUUUGCUUCUUGGGCAACAAACUGAUCUAUCCUUUUUGGUGCCCAAGAAGCAGGGGCGGAACAACGAACAACCCAACCUUGGUCGGGGGGCCAAAGAAUUUUUUCAAAAAAAUUUAAUAAAAUUUUUAAUGUAAAUAAGUAAUUAUUAAUAUAAUAUAAAAUAUUGAGUAUUAAUUUUAUUUAUUUUUAAUAGAGGCCAUGACUCAUGCUUGUCCUUUAAUAGAUCCGCUCACGCCAAGAAGUAUACUUCACCAUAGUGGAUAUAAGGAACUAUGUCCAUGACUUGGGAUGCAAAUGGAUGUUCAAACUUUUUUGUGGUUUCUUUGUCCAUGGUUAUAAUGUUGCUUAGUCAAGGUGCAUUUGGAAGUGAUGUGUGCAGUCCAAUUGCAAAAGUAUUUAGCAACACCUUGUAGUUGAGUUUUGACAGUUCAACAAUAAUUUUUUUUAGUUCUUUUUCACAACUAUAAUUUUUACUACAUAAUGGAUGCAAAGCUAUUCGACAUUGCAUUAGCUUGCUUCUUAAAAACAAUCGUAGCACCACUUCUAUAAGUUUGUAAAUGUUUAUUAAAGGAACUUGCUUGGAGAGGUUCUUGGAGACGCGGGCCAUAAUUGAGUGUGAAAGAGAUCUGCAGAAUCUUCACAAACAGCUUGAAGAGCUCGAUCGUGUACUGGCAGGCAAAGGAGAAGGUACUCGAUUUUUUCAAUGCUCCAAUUUUUUUUGAAUGAAAUGUCUCUUAACCAAUAAAAAAUAAAUAGCAAUCUCCCCAAUAUUUUUAUUUUAUUUUAUUUAAGCACACACAGAUUGAUAUUAUUAAGCAAUUUCAGUUUUAUACAAUAUAACACAAACUCUCAUAUUAAAGAAUUUAUGGUGUGUUUAAAGUAACACAAGUUCACAACUCAGUGGUGCAACAACAGCUGUAUAAAGAACUGGAAACAUGUACCUAUCAAAAGCAAAUGGUAUCACUGCUGAUACAACUCUGCAACUCAGAGUUUAUAUCCUAGAUUUACACUUUUCGAGUAAGUGCUGACUCCAGCAAAAAGAAGCAAAAGAAUUGAAAUUAAUGGAGAAACAGAGAUAGCAGGAGAGACGGAGAGAGAGAAGAAGAAAUAUUUGCCAUUUUCUUGCUUUCUAUGACGUGUUCCUCUCUACAUAUAUCUUUUACCCCUCAACAUUACACGUGUAACUAACCAACAAAUGAAUGAUUCAAAGAAAAAACAGUCACAACAAAAUAACAAAAUCACAGCUGCCAUCUUUUCCACUCUCUUUGUGCCUUCUCGAAUAUUCCUUAGGUAAUGUAAUCUUUGAGGUAUGUUGGUGCCCUGCGCAUACGAGCUGGACCUUUUGUGUGCUCCUCAACCAGCUGGGCUUCUUUCUCUGUUUCCCAUGCUGACUUGUCAUUAAUCUCGGGCAAGGUUGUAUCAACUGCCUUACAUGGAAACUAACAUAUUUAUUAAGAAAGGAAAUUACAGAAGAGCCUGUUAGGGUACAAAACCUCGUGAGCUUGACAAUCUCACCAAUGAAAUUGCAGAUGACGAUGGUAAGCAACGAGACGGCAUAGAGAGACCACGUCGCAUACUUGAGCUUCGCGGAAUAUGGAAUUGUAGUCGCCAAGACCAAUGCAGUGGCGGCAACGAUGGCAGCAGCUUUCUCUAGCACUUGGGAUGCAGCAGCAAACUUGUGCACAAUAAAUUUCGAAACAAAGAGAGAAAGGAAUGUCGUUAGGAUAGCAAAUGAAAGCACGCAGUAUAAAGGAGAAAGUUCUGACUUAGGCUGAGCAAACAGGAUGGUGAUAUCGAUGGCUGAUGAGAAGCAAAAUGCGAUGAUCACAUUCUGCCAUUCAAGGACUCUUCUGGCUUCGUCCAUAAAUGGUCCCUGUAAUGUUGGUGGCUUUGAAUAUUUAGGUGAAAUAAAAUGUGCACUGAAUCUUUUGUAAACGUAGUGCCCAAGCUAUAUGUGUUGAUGUCGUUAUUUAUAGAGUGAGAUGGCGCCGGAUCAUCUUAGGUUAGUGAGCUUUUGUGUUCUUGUCAAUAUCUUUGACUUUUUUCGGACAAAAUGAGUAAGUAAUGCUGAGAUUCCUCUGCCGCUAUUAUAACUAAGGAAAAAUGAGUCUUGCAAAGUUACAAUUGCAAUAAAGAUCUACGGGACUCAUGGUCGAUCGGAGCUAAAAAAUUAUCCAAUCGACUAAGUUUAACCAAAUUAAGGUUCAUGUUGUCGGAUUUGAUCACCAAACGUGAUUCACAUUCAUUUAAUUUCUUCAUGCAUCCCCCGCUCGAUAGACGUUAAAACAUUAGCUAAAUAUUUCUUUAAUCCCUACAGUUUAGGUUAAUUAUAUAAUUAGUUCAUAUAUUUUUGUAAAAUUAUCAAGAAGGUUUUUGUUGUGCAUUUUGUUUCCUAUUCAAAAUCAUAAAACAAUCUACUCCUUAUCAUCUAUUUUUCACUUGUUGCAUGUCAAAUUUAUUUAAAUUUCAAGUUAUAUUAAAUAAAAAUAUUUUUUUUUCCUUAUAAAGUCAAGUCCAACAAUUACGAAAGUUAUGAUAGUGGUGUUUAAAAUAAUUUUUAAAAAUAAAAGAACUAAUUAAAAAUUUUAAUUCAACUAUAGGUACUAAUAAAAUGUUUAUCCUAAAACAUUACUUUUUUCAAUUUUCAUUUUUUGGUUUCAUAUUUUUCUGACGGAAAAUUGGUGAGUCCUUGUGUCCACCUGAUUCUCGUACCAAGUCAUUUUCACACCAAGCAUAUAAUGACGUGUUUAAAUUGAGUUGGAAUGAAGUGGCUGUAAAGAAAAAUGAAAAAAAAGGGCGAAUUUUCAAAUUAAUUUAUACUAUUUACUUUUUUAUUAUUUUUAUAAUAUUUAAAACUCUACGCCAAAAAAAUUUGAGGAAAAGAGGGAUAAACGAAUUUACUUGAUAAUUUAUUUUAAAAAUAUAAAAUAUAUGGAUAGAGCUAUUUGAAUCCGUUAAUUUCCUUCAAACACCUAUUUUUUAAAAUUAAAAUAAUUUUUAAAUUAUAACUUAUUUUUUUAAUUCAAAACUUCUCAAAAAUUAUAAAAUUACCCCUAAUUAACUACUUUCUCUCUAUAUUGAAACAAUGAUCCGAGCCUAAAUUACUUUCUCUCUUUUAAUUUUUCUUUUAAUUCUUUCUUGAUAAAUCAACUUUAUCUUUCCCUUACUUUUCACUAAACAUUAUUGUUAGUAAAUUGGUGGGGGCAGCAGGACCGCAACUAAAAUAAAAUUGGAAAUAAAAUAAAGAACAAGCACAAUAGAGGACACUAGAAAAUUACGUGGUUCGGCUUUUAGCCUACGUCCACGGGCGAAGACAGAAGGAAAUAUUUUACUAGUGAAAAGGAGUUACAAGUAUUGUAGUAUUUUAGCUCACUUCCCAAAACCCCAAUACACCCAAACUCUCUAACUCACUAGACACUCAAGAGUUUAUUAAACUCUUAAAACUCUCAACACUCAAGAAAGCAAUGCUUCUCUCUCGAUAGAAAUUGAAUACAAAUGAAUGAGUGAGCUCUUCCUUUUAUAGCCAAAAUCUUGGCUACUAUUCACGUAUUUUUUUUUUUAAUUAUUUAUUAUUAUUCAAAAUUUCAAAAUUCAAAGUUUGAUAUUCAAACUUUGAAUAUCUAGAAUUUUGAAUUUGAUAUUCAAAGUUUGAAUAUCUAGAAGUUUGAUUUUGAUAUUCAAACUUUGAAUAUCAAGACACCCAAUCUUGACAUUCUCCCACUUGGAGAUUUGAUUGAGAACCAAUCAAUCUCCACACCAUCCUUUCUGCUUCGCCAUUGUCAUGUUGCCUACGUUGCUGCUAGGCCACAAGAGGAUCUACUCCAGACAAACUUGUCAGUAGUGAUCGGCUUGGUCAAAACAUCUGCUAGGUUCUCUUUGGUAUGGAUUUUCUGCAAAUCCACACUUCCAUCUUCCACUACUUCACGAACGAAGUGAUACUGAACUCCUAUGUGCUUUGUCCUGGAAUGAAAGGCUGGAUUCCUUGCAAUGUGCAAGGCACUCUGACUGUCACAAAAUACAGGAAUUUUCUGUUGUUUGUGCCCGAGCUCCUCCAAUAACCUUUGUAUCCAAAUAGCUUCCUUGCAAGCUUGUGUAGCUGCCAUGUAUUCUGCUUCUGUUGUAGAUAAAGCCACAACGGUCUGCAGUUUCGAAACCCAGCUUACAGCUGCUCCCGCAAGUGUAAACACAUAACCAGUAGUGGAUUUUCUUUUAUCAAGAUCUCCUGCAAAAUCUGAAUCCACAUAACCCCUGACAGUAAACUCUGAUCCUCCAUAACAUAAUGCAACAUCUGAGGUUCCUCUGAUGUAUCUCAGAAUCCUCUUCACAGCUAUCCAAUGCUCUCCACCAGGAUUCGCCAUGUAUCGACUGACUGCUCCCACUGCAUGUGCAAUGUCCGGUCUAGUACAUAUCAUAGCGAACAUCAAACUUCCCACUGCUGAUGCAUACGGUACUCGAGACAUCUUCUUCCUCUCUGCUUCAUUGCUAGGACACAUACUUGAGGAUAAUUUGAAAUUAACAGGGAGUGGGGUAGAAAUUGACUUACAAUCUUGCAUGUUGAAGCGUCGCAAGAUUUUCUUCAAGUAAUUCUUCUGUGAAAGCCAAAUCUUCCUGUUAUUUCUGUCUCGGUGAAUUUGCAUCUCUAGAAUCUUGUUUGCUGGUCCCAAGUCCUUCAUUUCAAACUCCCUAGCCAACUGUGCCUUCAAUUCUUGGAUUCGAUCUUUGUUGGGACCUGCUACCAACAUGUCGUCCACAUACAACAGCAAAAUGAUGAAAUCAUUAUCUUCAAACCUCUUGUAAUAUGUACAAUGAUCUGAACUGAGUCUGUUGUAUCCAAGGCUCAUGAUGAAUGAAUCAAAUCUCUUAUACCAACACCUCGGCGCCUGUUUGAGACCGUAUAGAGAUUUGUUCAACCUGCAAACCAAGUUCUCUUUUCCUUUUUCUGCAAAACCUUCUGGUUGGAGCAUAUAUAUUUCUUCUUCAAGUUCUCCAUGAAGAAAUGCAGUUUUAACAUCUAACUGCUCUAAAUGUAGGUCAAAUGUAGCACACAUUGCCAAGACUAUUCUGACUGUUGUGAGUCGAACCACUGGAGAAAAUAUCUCGUUGAAGUCAAUACCUUCUUUCUGAGCAUAUCCUUUCACCACCAAUCUUGCACGAUACCGCUCCACUUGGUCAUUGCCAUCACGCUUGAUCUUAUAGACCCAUUUGUUUCCAAUGGCUUUUCUUCCACGUGGUAGUGGUACAAGUUCCCAUGUCUUGUUCUUGUGUAGAGCUUCAAUUUCUUCCUGCAUUGCUGUCAUCCACAAAGCAAUAUCUGAACUGUUUAAAGCUUCAUGGAAAGUUGAAGGCUCUCCAUCCUCUGUUAGAAGACAAUAUGCAACGUUGAUCUCUGUGACAUACUCCGAGUGCCACGUCGGCGGUCGUCUCUCACGAGUUGACCGACGAACUUCUGGAGCCUCAGACUCGACUGGUUCUUGUUCCUCUUGCUCUGGUGCUGCUUCAGAAGAAUCUGAAUCUUCUAGAUUAUUUUCCACAUAUACUGGCACAGUCUCUGACUUUUCUUUUGUAGUGCCAUCAUCCUCAUCUCUCCUUUGCAAUUGAUCUUCUACAAAGAUAACAUCUCUGCUGAUGACGAUCUUGUGGGCAGUGGGGUCCCACAGACGAUACCCCUUUACUCCAUCAGCAUACCCUAAGAAGAUACAUCUUCUAGAUUUUGGAUCCAGCUUUGUUCUUUCUUGGGCAUUGUACAUCACGUACACAUGACAUCCAAAUGCAUGUAGGUAGGAAUAAUCAGCUGGCUUUCCAGUCCACAUCUCCAUCGCUGUCUUCAACCCAAUAGCUGUAGAUGGCGACCGAUUUACUAUAUAACAGUCGGUCUUGGCUGCUUCUGCCCAGAAUGAAUUGGGUAAACUAGCAGUCCUCAACAUAGCUCUUAUUCUUUCUGUAAGAGUUCUGUUCAUCCGCUCCGCUACUCCGUUUUGUUGAGGAGUGUAUGCCACCGUGAACUGCCUCUGAAUACCUUCUUGCUUACAGAAAGCAAGAAACUCUCCGUCUGUAUAUUCUCCACCAUUGUCUGUCCUUAAGCACUUGAUCUUUUUACUAGAUUCAAGUUCCAACUGCGCUUUGUAUUCUUUAAACACAGGAAAUACAUCUGACUUUUUCUUAAUUGGAUACACCCAACAUCUUCUGGAAUAAUCAUCAAUGAAAGUCACCAUGUACUUUGCACCUCCCAUAGAUAUAUCCGGUGAUUCCCAAACAUCAGAAUGAAUCAAGUCUAGAAUGCAUUUACUUCUAGCAAUAGAUCUACUGAAUUUUAAUCUAUGCUGCUUACUUGUAACACAAUGCUCGCAAAAUGGUAAACUUACCGAUUUGAGCCCCGGAAGCAAUUUUCGCUCAGAGAGAAUCUUCAAGCCUUGUUCUGACAUGUGGCCAAGUUUGAGAUGCCACAUCAUCGUUGAUUCUUCUCCAUUUGAUGCGACACACGCAUCAGCCUCCUGUAGUGUUUCUCCUUUAAGCAUGAAUAAAUUAGCACCGAUCUUUUCUGCCUUCAUCAAUACAAGCGCACCUUUAACGAUCUUCAUUAUUCCAUUUUCUACAUGAGUUUUGAACCCAUGACUAUCCAUUUGUCCCAAAGACAAUAGAUUUUUCUUCAGGCCAUUGACAUGUCGUACCUCCCCAAUUGUGCGAAUUGUACCAUCAAACAUUUUUAUUUUGAUAGUACCAAUACCAGCGUUCUCUAAGGCAUGAUUGUUACCCAUAUAUACAGAUACUCCUGAGAUAGGUUCAUAUGUGUGGAACCAUUCUCUCUUAGAGGUCAUGUGCCAGGUAGCUCCUGAGUCUAUAAGCCAGACAUCAGAUAGUCGUUUUCUGCCUUCUGAAACAGUUGUUGCCUCGCUGUAGAGAAUUUCACCAUCAUCUGAGGUACUUGCUACACAACCCUGAGCAUUUGAUGACUCAGGUUCUUUGCCCUCUCUUCUCUUCUGGUUACUCCAACACUCUUUCUUGACGUGCCCUUUCUUGCCACAGUUGUAGCAUUUAACAUUCUUCUUACUUCUGGAUUUUGAUCUACCCUGAUUUUGACUCCCACUGGGGCCACGUUCCGUUGAUCUCCCUCUCGUCACUGAUAGCGCUUCUGCUUGCUGCGAACUUGCUUGUCUGUUUUCCUUGUUUUUCCGCCUGCUCUCCUCAUUUAAUACGGAGGCUGCAACAUCGUCGAAAACUAGACCCUCCACUGGAUUGUUGUUCGUCAGGUUGAUGAUGAGUUGAUCAUACGAAUCUGGUAGACUUUGAAGUAGAAGCUCUGCACGUUCAUUUUCCUCUAUAUUAUGACCCAACGUUGUGAGUUGUGAAAAUAGAGUCUUCAAUGUGUUGAUGUGGUCGGUCACCAUUGUAGAUUCCGCCAUUCGAAGAGUAUAGAGUUUUCUCUUCAAGAAGAUUUUGUUGUGUAGUGACUUGGCCUCGUACAAUUUUGUGAGAGUAUCCCAAAUUUCCUUCGCCGUAUUUUUCUCUGCCACACUAGAUAAUACUCCAUCCGCAAGUGCCAAGUGUAGAUCAGAAAUAGCGUUGCCGUCUACCUCGUUCCACUUGUCAUCAGUUAUCUCCAUGGGCCUUUCUCCAAUUGCUGCCAAACAAUUAUUUUUCCUCAAUACAGCUUUCAUCUUCAUUUUCCACAACGAAAAAUUAUUUCCGUUAAACUUCUCAAUUUCAUAUUUUGCGGCCAUUUUGUUGAUAAUACUGCACACAAGCUAGUAUACCACCUUGAAUAGUUGUGAGUAUGUGUGAGAAUGCACACCAGGAAAGUUCCCAGGAAAGACUGGAGGGGUCACAAUGGUCCCACUUAAAACCCAGACUCCUUAAGCUCUUAUCGCCUUUGUGACAGAACUUUCCUAGACAUGUACAAAAACCACACAGUUGUUUUACUCACACUACUAUUCCCUGCUUUGCACCGUAAAAUUUUUGGAUCGUUCCCACCGUUUCACGUGAAUAGUACCGUAUACGUGAAUAGUGCCGUAUACGUGAACCGUACCGUAUACUUGAAUAGUGCCGUAUACGUGAACAGUACCGUACUCCAAAAAAUACAACCAAUAGCUCUGAUACCACUGUUAGUAAAUUGGUGGGGGCAGCAGGACCGCAACUAAAAUAAAAUUGGAAAUAAAAUAAAGAACAAGCACAAUAGAGGACACUAGAAAAUUACGUGGUUCGGCUUUUAGCCUACGUCCACGGGCGAAGACAGAAGGAAAUAUUUUACUAGUGAAAAGGAGUUACAAGUAUUGUAGUAUUUUAGCUCACUUCCCAAAACCCCAAUACACCCAAACUCUCUAACUCACUAGACACUCAAGAGUUUAUUAAACUCUUAAAACUCUCAACACUCAAGAAAGCAAUGCUUCUCUCUCGAUAGAAAUUGAAUACAAAUGAAUGAGUGAGCUCUUCCUUUUAUAGCCAAAAUCUUGGCUACUAUUCACGUAUUUUUUUUUUAAUUAUUUAUUAUUAUUCAAAAUUUCAAAAUUCAAAGUUUGAUAUUCAAACUUUGAAUAUCUAGAAUUUUGAAUUUGAUAUUCAAAGUUUGAAUAUCUAGAAGUUUGAUUUUGAUAUUCAAACUUUGAAUAUCAAGACACCCAAUCUUGACAAUUAUAAGCUCUUACCUGUGAUGAUCAUAAAGUUUGCACUUCUGAUAUUUGACCCCAAAAACAAAAAAUUCUAAUAGAUUCAAAGUGGCAUAGAAACUUUUAUUUUUAAUUCUUACAUGAUGGGUAUUAUUGUUUUUGUUAGGGAAAUUUAAUCUCACCCAAGAUCUUAUAAGCAAGAAUAUCAAACAAAUAAUAAACUGAAAAAUAGAUGGAGAAUAAAACUAAUCACACAAUACAAGAAUUUACGUGGAAAAUUCUUAUACCAAAGAAAAACAACGGCCACCAAAGACGACGAGAGAAAAAUCCAGUAUGUGAAAAAUUAUUACAAUCACUCUAGUAUGUUUUCGUACACCCAAAAUCUUAAUAACAUCCAAUCUCUCAAUAGACCUAUUGUUUCUCUCAUACUAGAAACUAUCUACCUAUAGAAAAGUGGUUAUUGUGUUAUGCCAACAAGUGAAUCCAACCUCUCUAUAUAUAGUGAUUAUUUUUGUAUAAGAUGUAUUCUUAUUCUUAUACUGGUUGUACUUCUCCUUUAAUAAGUUAAGUCUCAAAAAGAAAAAAAGGAAAAAUAUUCAUCGUCCACCUUUUUUUCAACUUUUUAAAAAAUACACAAUUCUUUUUUCUUUUUUUUUUUUGCUGGAAUCCACCUAAAAUUACAUUUCGUUUCACUUUCCACUUCCGUUUGGAAUCUGUUAAGAAAACUAAUGGAAACUUAAGCAAAUGACCAUUUUGCCCCCCAAAAAUAAAAAUUACAAUUUCACCCUAAAAAUGCCAAAAAUAAUCAGAUUAAAUAUUGUAGAUGUUAGCUCCCAACGGCUACAAUUUGAUCUAACAACUACAAUUUGAGGCAUAUAAACACAAAAAUCAGCAUGCAUGAAGAAGUCAUUCAACCAUGCAAGCUGCUCCCAACCAGCCAUAUAAACNNNNNNNNNNNNNNNNNNNNNNNNNNNNNNNNNNNNNNNNNNNNNNNNNNNNNNNNNNNNNNNNNNNNNNNNNNNNNNNNNNNNNNNNNNNNNNNNNNNNUCAACCAUCAUCCACACAUCACCUGAUUAACCAUUUAUUGAAACACAUCAUCUACACAUUCAAAAUGGCAUCAAGUUAUAGUUCAAGUUCUGCAGCCAGUGGACAACCACUUGGAAAAAUUAAAUGCAUUCCCAAGUACUGCUGGUGUGGCGUGCAGGCGUGUGCUAUGGUUUCCACUACACCACAAAAUCCUAAUGCAAUGUUUUGGUCAUGCAAGUUGAAUAAAUGCAAGUUUUGGCAAUGGUUUACUACUGAAGCUCUCAUAUACCCUAGUAGUAGUGAUCAAAUGAUAGAUAAUCAAAAUUUAGAGCCAAAUACAGUAAACUUUGGAGCUGAUGAGAUGGUAAAGAUAAAGAAAAGGCUUAGGCUCAUUGAAGGGAAGCUUAAAUAUGUAAUAAUACUGCUAGUUUGUCUCUGUGUAAUUGUGUUUAUUAAAAUGUAAUGUCUCCUAUAAAACAUGCAUUACUGAAAUAAAAGCUUAAUUAUGACAGUCCUAGUAUCUAUCUUUGCAAUUGCAUUUAAGUACACCCUAAAUAACAUUUCGUUAACCACAAUAAUUGAAAAAUAUCAUAUUAUAGUUAUCCAAAAAUACAACCAAAAUAACCAUUAAUCAUAUCAUCAAAAUACAUCCUAAAUGACCAUUGACAGCCACAUAAGUAUCCAAAAUAUCGCCAAAAUAACCAGUAAUAUGCCAAAAUAACAACCAAAAUGGCUAGUUAACAAGUUUAGUUUGUUCCCAUUACAAAGAACCUGUGAUAAUUGAAGCUUGAGAUGGAUUUUGGGAUUGGUUCAGUCCUGGACUUAAUUGUCUUUCCCUGGUUCCAGCACCUUGAAGAGCCCUUCUUUUCCUUAUUCCAACAUUGGAACUUUGACCUGGGGCACUAGGUAUCUAAAUUAUAUAUUAUGUUAGUUUAAGAACUUGAACAAAAAAAAUAAAAAAAAACAAAAAUAUACAAAUAUUCAACCAAGAUAAUACCUUUCUUAUUGUUUCGGAUGCAGUAGCUGCUGGCUAGCCUGAACCAAUUAGCUUUGUUGUUGACGCCUAUAAAAUAUGUUGAUUUGUAAAUGAAUUUUAUAUUAUACAUAAAACGAACUAUGAAGGCACAAAAAAUGAAAUAUAAGUGCAAGCAUCACCUAUUUUCUUUUUCUUAUUGCCUGUUGUGAAGUAUUUAAUGGCUUACUUGAUGUUGUUAAUGCCUAGAAAACAUGAUGAUAAUAAACAUGACUACAAUAUAAAUAUAAUAAAUAAUAAUAGUCACGUAUAAUAAACAAUGAUAAACAUAAUAAAUAAUAAUAGUAUAUUAAAUAUACCUGAAAAUAAUUGUUCAUCGCUUUAUUUGCCCUUGCAAUAGAUGGCCUCAACGGACAAGAUCUCACGUUGUAAUUACAACCACCACAAAAUGAGCAAAUGACAAAGAAUUUUCUUUUCUCUUUUUGAGGCUCAUUUGCUUCUCUUUUUCUGAAUUUUUUGGGCCUUUCAAUUUUUUUUGAACAAUUGGUGGGUCAAUCAACAGUCUUCCUGUAGGCUCCCAUGUACACUGAUCUGGAAAGGGGCUGAACAUCACUGAAUAUGUGCUAAGGUAAGCCUGUCUGCUAAAGCAAGUUGGAACACACUCCUGAACUUCAUGUCUUGUAUAUCCCAUGGUAGCCAUAGCAUGUGGACAAGGGAGGCCGACAAUUUUCCAAUAACCACAAUCACAUGUUCUAGAUUCUAGCUUCACAAUAAACCUCUUAGGUGGAUUAUAUGCUCUAUCCAUGACUUGAAAAUUAAGAUCACCAGAAGCUUGUACAAUCAUUUUCUGUGCAAUCUAUUUUUUUUUAUCCAACUCUUCCAAAACCUUAAGGGUCAGCUGUUUUUUCCAAGUGCCUGCCUCGUUUCUUCUUUUUGUAACCGUUUUAUAAGUCUAUAUCUUAUUUCUUCAAGCAUUGUCAAGUAAAGUUUGUCUCGGUAAAGUAAUAUCCAGCUGUUGAAGCACUCCAAUGCAUUGUUAUCGGUACGAUCUACCAUGCAAUUUCUGUCAUAUGUGUGCAUCGACCAAUUAUAACUAUGUAGUUCUUGUUCCAACUACUCAAAUGCAGCUUCUUUUUCAGCCUUAUGCCUCAUCAAAAUCAUGCUUGUUACAGCUCUUGGUAGCUUUCCAAACAACUGCUUCAACUGUGCACCAGCAAACGACUUGGAAAAAUUAGCAUAAACAUGCCUAGAACACGCCCUAUGAUAGGCGAUAGGCAAUAGGCCAUGUGUUUGAAAUUGCAUUAAUCAGCCCCUUUUGUCUAUCACUAAUGAAAGUGAUAUGCCUUCCAUCAUUCAAAUAACUUUUCAAGUUCUCCAUAAACCAUCCCCAUUUCUCUGCAUUCUCAAUCUCACAAACACAUAGCUCUAAGGGAAUAAUCCUAUUAUUACCAUCCAUGCCAACAACGACUAACAACACUCCACCGUACUUACCUUUCAAGUGACAUCCAUCUACUCCAAUAAAAUGUCUAUAGCCAUUAAGAUAUGCAUUUUUUUUGUGCUGGAAAGGCAACAAAAAACCUUUGGAAUAAUACCUUAUUAGGAAUAAAAAUAACAUCACAUAACACCUUGCAUACUGCUCCUGAAUAAGCUUUGUGAAUGGCAGCAUCAUAGUCAAAUAAUUUUUUAUAUCUCCUCGAACAAUCCCCAAAUACCUCAAGUCUUGCCUUUGUUUUAGCCCUAUACAGUAUCAUCUUCCCAAUCUUUAAACCAUAAGUCUCUUGCACAUGAUUCUUCAAAAUAUCAAUCUUAACAUUAGGGUCAACAACAACCUGACCCUUUAUUUUGGAAGCAAACCAAGCAGAGGUAACUUUCACUGUCUUGUUAGGAAGCCUACACUCGUGUUUUUUGUUGUAUUCUCGUAAUAUAAAACCAGUCCCAUCAUUCAGUUUUGCACCAGACAUGUACCAUGGACAAUCAACUUCUUUACAAGUUCCUACAAUUCGUCUUGGCUCACUAUAUACUGUUUUAAUGGCAAACUUUUUCUAAUCAUCACCUCAUGCAAUAUCUCCCUAAAAUGACCAACAUCUCUAAACAUAUGCCCUAAUUUAAGCUUAUGUUUCCCAUAUGCACCUACUUUGUACUCAUGUUGUUGUAAGUAAUUAGUUUAGCCUUUUUACCUCUUUAUUAGCAUCAGACAGAUUGUCAUCUGAAUUGGAUUCCAAGUCAUUGCUUUGACCCCUCUCAUGAUCUCCACUAUCCUCACUACCCUUGUCAACAAUAGUAGGUUCAGCAGCACCAUCAAAUUAAGCUUUCAUGAAUUCCAGACAUCAUCAUCAUUGUUAGCCCUUCUGUCUGAAUAGUCAAACAACAAUGCAUCCUCAUCAAAUUAAUCAGCCCCAACAACAACUUGUUCCCCAACAGUAGCUUGUUCACCAACAACAGCUUGUCUCCUGACAACAACUUGUCCCCUAAAAGCAGGAUAUCCCCCAACAUAAGCAUUUCCCUCAGCAGAUUCAUUCAACUGAGUAAUCAAUUCAUCAGGCAACACAACUCUUAGGUUCGUUAAUAAUACUUGCAGUAAGGAGAAAUCUUAAAACAGGGGGUGAAGAACUGGUACAACUUCAACAGUUAAAGUAUUGACACCCAAAAUUUGAUGAAUUCUAUGUAAAAAGCCGAGCCCAAAAUUUGAAUUCAGCGUAACUUUCAUUUUAUUCUCUGGGUUCGUAACAUUCAAUAGAAUUUUUGAAGUGGAGUCUAAUCCAUAUGGACUCGUAAUGUUUACAACAACCUCCUUUAUCUUCGCAAUAGUAUAGUCAGGUUCAAGUAACCCUAAAUUCUACUUCAUGCCUCAAUAGGAUAUCACUAACUCUAGAUGUGGCAUCUUGAAUGUCCAAAACAAACGAACAUAUUCACCAAAACGUACUUAAAUACAUUGAUGAGGCGUAAAUGCAAGUAUAUGAAGGAAAUAAAACCAAAAAAAUAAGUUAUUUUCUUAUUAUAUUGCAAGAGUCAUUAUACCUUGAAUUAAUAACGAAUUAUUAAUAUAUUUCAGGCAAGAAACUUAGAGGGAAGGCAUGGAAACAAACAUCCUGGAGGACUUUGUCAGAUUAUAAAUUAUAAUCUUUGAGAGAUUCAAAUUUCGCAUGCAUAUGCCAAACCUUCACCAGGGGGCUAGGGGAUAUGGAUACAUAUUGAUAAAAUUUUUCAAAAAAUCAUGACCCAUAGUGUUGCAACUAAAAAUUUUCAAAAACCCUAAAUUUUGUAAACCACAAGCACAAAUACAUGAGUGCGCAGGGGAUAAAUACGCAUUCAACCAUGCUAGCAACAAUCUUUCGUGCAUGUGCUUUUCACUAGCCUUAAAACAACAUAUUACUUCUCAAUUUAUCAUUACCAUAAAAAAUUUACUAUAAAUUAACUUAAUUUGUAUUCUAAGGUUUCAAGAAACAACGAUUAACAACGUUCUCGAUACAAAUCUUAAAUAACAUUAUUUCAUAUGAAAAAUAAAUGAAAGUUAAUAAAUAAAACGAAACUUACUUGAUACUAGCUUCAAACCCAGAAAACCUAAGUGUCGAGAUUCCUAAACGGCUCACAGCUUUCCUCAAUACCUCUGAACCUUUGAUUUAACAAAAGUUUUGACACUCAAACGUAGUUUGUUGAUGAAAAUGGAUGGAAAUUGCAGAAAGAAUGGCGGGAAUUUGUUGGUUCUUAAUGCAUGGUGGUGGUGGGUCACUCGUGAAUAAACAAUGUUUGUUCUCAUUUUCUCUUCUUUGGACCACUUUGCUUUUUUCUUUUUUUUUUCUCCAAUUAAAGUUGUAAACGACGUCCUUUUAGGCUGCUCUACUGAAAUGACUGAUUUGCCCCUAAGACAUCAGUAAUGUUACAACGAAUUCCAAACGGAAGUGGAAAAGUAAAACGAAAUGUAAUUUUAAGUGGAUUCCAGCAAAAAACAAUUGUCUAUUUUUAAAAAAGUUGGAAAAAAACAGGUGAAUGGUGGAUAUUUUCCCAAAAGAAAUUACUUAUUCAUUAAAUAGGAAUCCUACUAAAGAAGAAAAUAUCCUAGAAAAUUCUUAUUGAAAAAUAAGACAUGUUUUCCUAACACUUUUCAAUUUGUUUUAGAUUACCAUAAGGUUGAAUUUGUUAAUUUUUGAAUAAUUUUGUUUGUUAAAUGCAAUAUUUACUUUAUGUAUUACAAUAAACUUUUGACAAGGGAAGGAGAUGAAAGGAGAGAGAACAAGGUUAAAUAAGUAAUUGAUUAAAUUAUAUUUUCCCAAUAAAAAUUUUAAUUAAGGAAAGUGUUCUGUGAGAAAUUUAGUGGGUUCAAAUAGCCCUAACCAAAAUAUAUAUUUUUUGUAAAAAAAUUUAAAACUAACAAAAAGUAUAAGAUAAAUAUCGUAUUAUUUCUUUUUUAUUUACACCGAAACAUAUAUAUAUAUUAUUUUUGUGCUUAAAUCUUUAUUUUAAUUUAUAUGAUUUAUUUAAUUUAUAAUAAAUAUGAAUAAAAAUUUAUUUAAAAAUAAGGAUAAUACUGUAAAAUUAUAUUGUAAAGGAAAUUAUUAGUUAUUAUGAAAUUAAUAUGAGGUAAAUGAUAUAUAUUAAUUUUAGUAGGGAAGAAAUUAGCAAUCACCCAAAAAAACAUAGCCACCUUGUACCACCUCAUUCCGAAAAGCUUCUAUACAAGUAUAGCCAAUAAACUUUUCAAUACCCCAAAACUAAUCCAUAUUACACCUUCAUUAUUGUAUUCUCUAAACUCACAAAUCAGCCUUCUUUUCUCCUUUUUUACCCCUUCAGAUUCUUUAAUUUAAUGCCGUUUUUGCAGAUUUAUUAAUCUUAGGAUUCAAUAAUUGUCAUUAAUCUUACUUUGAUCCUAUUUAGAUUUCAAUUUGAAAAACCAUGUCCUUGACCUUGAUUUCUUGGGUGGAACAGAAAGCUAAUCCAAUGACGAGCGGAUUACUCGUCCUUUUGCUAUCGUUAUCUGAUAAAUUCAAAAAAUGUUCCCCUCUCAAUUUCUUGUGCUAUAAAUAAAUAAAUUCCGGUUUACGCCUUUACGAUGGGUACGUACAAAGAGAUAAAGCUUAUUAAUUAUUUUUUUUGGGUAAUUUUCGCAACAAAUACUUUAAUAAUAGAAAUUUUAUUAAAAAAUGAGGGAGAGUAUUUUAAUGGGUUUAAAAUAGUUCCUUCUUUAAUAGGUUCAAAAUAGCCCCUUCCUUUCUUCAAUUAGCUCAAGAGAGAUAAACAAUUAAUUGACAAAAGUUUAAAAGAAAAUUGUAUGAUGCUGUAAUUAAAAUUACGGUAUCAAUAUCAGAGUUAUUGUGUACCGUUAGAUUAGAUCAAUAGUUUGUAAUAAUUAUAAUAUGAUAAAAAAACUUAAUUAAAUUAUAUUUUAUCAGUUACUAGCCAGUUAAAUUUUUUUUAAAAGAAAAAUUUAUCUUGUUUAUAAUAGAUAUAAAAAAAAAAACGGAGUUGCCUUUAAAAAAGAAAAAUUAUAAAAGAUAAAAUGCAAUUCCUAAUUAACCUAUCCCAAAAGAGAAAGACAAAAGGCAAAGCAGUCGACCAUCACUUCGAAAUUGACCACCAAAGUUUUUAAUCCGACAAGAAGAAGAUUACAAUGAUGUCGUUGAGGAGAACGAGUCGAGUUCAUGUUCGUGAAGGGGCUUCGAGUACGUCGACUAUAAGGACUCGCAUUGGCGAUUCAAGAGGCUUAGAGUUUGAAUGCGAUUCGGACUGCUCUUGAGAAUAUAGAAGACCAUGUUGAGUUCUUACAUAUAAGAGUUUUUGUACCUUUUCUUUUCGUUUUUUUAGUAGCGUUUAUGUAAUUUACGAUAAUCUGCAUCUGUUUUGGUUGUGGUUUUUUCUUUUUGAAAACUUUGAGGGAGAAAGAUGAAAACUUUGAGUUUUAGGGUAAGUAACUUGGCUAACUGUCGAAUUAUGUAAUAGAACCAGUUCACUGGAAAAGCAAAACAUGCACGCCUGUUAGUUUAGUUACAAAUCAAAACAAUCAACUAGUCAGUAUAUGGCAUGGGAAUCAGGAUAAGUAGAGAUCAAGGAAUUAGUUCCAACUGGACGGACAACUAUAAUACCAAAUGAAGACUCUAUGUUCAAACCCAUUCAAUUGCUUGGCAUUUACAUUUUAAAAACCCAAAAAUAUGAAAUGAAAGCUAACUUGUUGUGAAUAUAAUGAAUAACGUUUUUGACCAAAUCAUUGUUUCUAACCAAAGAAAUAAAAGUCACUUUUUAGUUAAAACCUGCAAAUAUUGACAAAGUUGGUGUGAUCUUAGAUCAUUUAAACAAGAAAAAUAACAUAAAUUUGAAUAAGUUAGGUGGCAUUUUUUUUUCUCUGAAAUCUAAAUAGAUUUGAAUUAUUAUGAAUUAUAAAUAGGGCCGAAUGACUGAAUUUGAAUGAUAUGUUUGUCUUUUUGUCCAAAUCGCUAAAAAUAAAUAUUAAGGUAUUUUUUUAACUUAAAAAAUCUGAAAACUAAUAUUUUUACAUUUAUGCCCUUACAAAUUAUAAAUGUUAAACAAACAAAUAAAUAUGUCAAAGAAUAUAAAUAAGAUAAUAUAUUAUCAUAACAUAAAUCAUAUUCAAUUGAAUACAACUCUUUAAUAUUCUAUAUUAUAUACGUUAAUUAAUUUUAUUAUAGUUUAUGAUGUUUUAUAUGAAAAAUAUUCAUAAAAAAUUAUGAAGAUAAAUAUAGCUAAUUUGAAAAAAAUAAAAAGAUAAAAAUAAUAAUAGUCUACCACUAUGUAUUAUCACAAGUUAUAUAGAGAUGAGUAAUAAUACUAAUUAUUAAAUUUUACUUAGAUAAUAAUGAAAAUUAAUUAAUCAAUUAGAUAGAGAUAUUUUGGAAAAUAUCUUUUAAUGAUAUCAUUCAUACUUUUUAGAUUAAGUAAAAAGCUAAAAAAUAAUAAUAACUUAAAGACAUAAUGGCUAAAAAAUUUCACUAAGUUGAAAAAAUAAACAAACUUAAUGUUUAAGUAAUUAAAAUUAAGUCAAUUAAGUUAUUAAGUAAAAAAACAAACGACUCCUUAAAGUAGCAAAUUCUUCCCUGAUCCCACAUUUUCUGAGCAACCAAGCAGGGCCUUAAUUUAUUUUUAGCCAAACCCACAUCUUUCAAACAAAUGUGUCCCAUCAAUAGUCUAGCAGAAACCAAGUAAAGCUAUUUUUUUUCUUCUUUUAAAGAAAACUUGUAGUUUCUUCAUUGUGAUUAAUUUUUCUUUUUUCAGUUACCAGACUUCAAACUUCAUGUAGCGUGGGAGUUCUAUUUCCAAGAUGCACGACAUUUGCUGCAUGCUGAUUGCUAAUUGCUCCGGAUGGACCAAACACAUCAUUAAUCAUUUUCCUAUAUCUCUUUUUUGCUAUUCUUUUUAGUCUAAUCACAGGAAAUAUAAUACCCUGCAUUUAACAGAANNNNNNNNNNNNNNNNNNNNNNNNNNNNNNNNNNNNNNNNNNNNNNNNNNNNNNNNNNNNNNNNNNNNNNNNNNNNNNNNNNNNNNNNNNNNNNNNNNNNUUUGAUGACACAACAGUUUAUAUACAAAAGAAAAGAGAAAAAAUAAAAAUCUCUAUCGUUAGACACAAUCAAUGGCAAUAACUGGUAUAUACAUGAUCCUUAUUUUCUUGAUUUGUAGGCAUUACAGUUUGUCUUCAUUGUGAGUUGUCGCAAUAUCUUUGCCUAUCUUUUUUCUAGUUUUUUUUUAAAACUUUUUUUCGUCUUCUUUCUUUGAGGAACCUACCGAUCAAAACUCUAAUUAAAUUCGGGAUUGUUGGAGUUGAAUUUUCAACCAUCAGUACUUUAAGCUUAAUUUUAUCAGAUAUUAAUUGAUUGUUUAUGUUACUUCCUAUGCUGCUGAUUCAUGCUAGCUCCAAAGACGUUUGUAUAUGUAAUAAACCUAUGUCUAUCCACGAUGAAAUCUCAUAAUUAAGGUCAAAACAUAGAAUUAGACUCAUUAACUUGUGGGAGACAGAUCUGAGACUAUGGCAUCAAUUCUCCGAUUGAUUCAAUUUUCAAUUCUCAAGCAAGUGGGCAUUUUGACUAAUUUUGUUUUACUAUUGCCUAGCUUUUCGUUUAAUUAUAUAUAUAUAUAUAUAUAUAUACAUAUAUGUAUAUAUGUGAUGCAUGUGAUACUGGGUUUGCUUAUUGAAAAUAGAAAAAAAAAAGUCGUUAAUUAUGUAGGCCCUAUGGACAGAAAAUGGGUGUUGAUUAAAAAUUAAAAAGAUUUGUGUUGCGCUCUAAUUUAACUUGUUAUGUUUUGAUACAACUGAUUGUGCUACAAAGCAUCAUUUGUUGUAGUCUAAUAUCACUUGUGCGCAAAACGCACAAUCAAUAUGCACUAAAUAUUUACAUAAAAAUAAAAAUAUGAGAAUUUAACGUGAUUCAGUAACAAAGCCUACGUCCACGAAGGUAAGCGAGAAUAAUUGUUUUACUAACAAUUAACGGAGUACAAGUUUGAAUAAUAAAAUCUCACUUCCCAAAUACUAAAAUACACCCAAUACUCUCACACACUCUUGGAAGAACCAAUUUCCCUGUUGUGCAAAUUUUAUUGUAUUCGCAGCGCACGAAUCUAUCGCAAUACAGAUUUAUAAUGAUGAGUGUCGUCCCACUAGUAGGUAGAUUUAAUUAUGCGUAGGGUUAAUUUUGUAAUUGUGUAUGUAAAAUAAUUGGAGAUGAUUUUUGAGUAAUACUAAGAUUCAAAAUAAAAUGGUAGGAAUGAAUUAAAGAUGAAACAAUGCAAAUAAAGGGCUUGAGUCUCUAGAUUCACACUCAAUAUUUCACCAUGAUCUUAAUAUUCCUUUUUAGUUCCAAUUAAUUUAUUGGAGGGGGGGGAUUAUUUCCACUCCUCAUAAGCAUCAUUCUAAUAAAUAUGGUAUCAAGCACUUAAUGUGCCAAUGAAUAAUGAUCUUCUGCUAAGUGUGGUGUCAAAAACACAUUGUGUCGGACAAUAAAAAUCUGUCAAUAAUGUGGCAAGACUAUCCAUGAAAUAACUUUGAUACACUUUCUGUCAACAUUAAAUCAAGACGACCCAUAAAUGCUAGAGGGGGGUCUCUUUCAAAUAAAUAUGGUAUAAAGUACUCAUUGUGCCAGACAGUAACAAUCUUUCACUAGAGAGCCAGUAUACCAUGUAAAAUUUAGACAAGAUACAUUGUCUAUCGACAAUGAGUCAAAACAACCACAUAAUAUUAGAGAGAAAAAGAAAAUAAACUUACAAAUUAAGCCCAUAGAUCAUGUUGAGCCUUCACCUUCAACCUAAACUUGAAAUUAAAUUAGUCACUCAUAAUGGAAUUAUGAGUAAAAUGAUAAUUUUAUUAAACUACGUAGAAAAUACAAGAUGAAGUGAGAAUUACAGAAAAUAAAGCCCAAAUUCAAAUUUAGAUAUGUCCAAUUAGGGGGAGCCCCUUUUUUAUAUAUACAGCCCCUAUUUAUAAAUAUAAUAAGUAAAUCAUAGCAUUUGAACGAAAACAAUUCGAACGCUUUGGAUUGCGCCACAUGGCAAGAUCAGAUUAGUUGGAACACAUCAUCAGGUCCAAUAAUGUGCUACCACAUUAUUGGUCAAUGCCACAUCAGCAAUUUUCGGUCCAAUUGGAUAUUACCACGUCAUCAAUCAAUGCCAGGUAAGCAUUUUAUGAUCCAAUAGGAUAUUGCCACGUCAUCGAUCAAUGUCGCAUCAUUAGUUAAUGCCAUGUCAGUUGGUCAAUGUCACAUCAGAUGGGCCCUACCAAAAUCUAAACUUAUGAUUUUGCCCUUUAUACACUUCCUAAGUUUUUCAGCUGUUCCAAGUUAAAAAAUCAAUUUGUUUUGCUCUCUAACUUCUCGCUAAUCGUAAAAUGAUAAAAAUACCCCGACAAUAUAUAAAACACUCACAUUAUAACAAAACACAUAAUAUUAAAGUUUAAAAAACUUAAAUAUAUAAAAGUAGAAAUGUUAGUGAGGAUUGGAGCUGAAAAUAACAAUUAUAUCCUUUAUAAAUAUGCAUUCUCCAGCACUCAAUAUUCCCUAAGAUAUAAAUUUUCUCACAUCUUUACAAAUAGUAUGGAACCCAACUAAGCAUCCAGGGAAAGGCCUCCCAAACUUUCUAAGAGUUCACUUGCAAAUGCUCUCUUUUUCUGGACUCUCUCAUAGGGAACUCUCACUGCACUCUCUUAGAGAGCUCUUCACCUAAGCUAUGUACUCUAUAUUUUGGAAUGCUUUACCCUCUCCAAAUGAAGCUUUAUUUAUAGGCGGGCUAUCACCGUAAAAAGUCUAAUAAAUUGGCAGCUACUUUUUUCCUUUUUGACAAAUUCAUGCAUAUGGCAAAAAUCUUUACAAAUUGUCAAAAUUCAGUUCUUAUUCUUGUCGACAAUUUGUGUGUGAGCCACUUUUUUUUUUUUAAUUUCUGCCUCGGUGAAGAUUUGUCCAAAUUUGAGUCGAUUAGUAAUGAACCAUCAUCCGCAAAGUAAUUUUUCAUUAGGGAUCCAAAAUGGUUGUGUCGUUUCGACUACCUACAUAACUAGCUACUAGGAUCAAGCCGAUCAUAAUUCACGAUUCCUGAAGGCAAUGCCUUACCAAUUGUCCAAAUUUGAGUUCUUAUUCUUGUCGGUAAUUUGCGUGUGAGCCACCUUUUUUUUUUUAAUUUCUGCCUCGGUGAUGAUUUGUCCAAAUUUGAGUCAAUUAGUAAUGAACCACCAUCCACAAAGUAAUUUUUCAUUAGGGAUCCAAAACGGUUGUGUCGUUUCGACUACCUACAUAACUAGCUACUAGGAUCAAACCGAUCAUAAUUCACGAUUCCUGAAGGCAAUGCCUUACCAAUUGUCCCAUACUCAUAUUAAAGAAUCCACAUCAUUGCACGCUAGUGAAUUUCACCCAAAUUUACUAACUAUGUUCAUUGUUUGAGAUAUAUAGGGCCUUCUACAUACCAUCACAUCUAUAAGACUACCAUAGCACAAGCUUAUGACACAUGAGCUAUAUUCCCGUGUUUCACUUGAGGAAAACAACAUGAAGAAGAGCUUAAGAGCUAGAGGAGUAUAAACUAGUUUGGCCAUUGUCAUUUAUACUAAACAUUUCUAGCAUGUUUUCCAAAAUAGACCUUUGAGUCAGCAAUAUGCUCCCAUUCUUGAUGUCUUUACAAAAUCUUUAACCUAAGCGUUCUCUGUGCAUCACCAAGUCUUUCAUCUUGAACGUAAAAGCCACUUGCUUCUUUAAUGUUAUCUCAAUUCUUUGAAGCUAUAAGCCUUUCGUUGAUAUAGAAUACCAAAUGGAUGAAAGCUUCAUCUUGUAGUAUUCUAGAGUAAACAUAGUGUUCAUGUUUACUUUUGGUGAUUCUGCCCUUAAUCAAAUUUCGUGUACCCUUAUUUCUCAACUACUUCAGUUUGUAUAAAAAUUUAACUAUCUUACUUCAGUUUUGUAUAAAAAUUUAACUAUUUUUGGUGAUUUUUCCCUUAAUUAAUUCUCUUGUACCCUUGUUUCUUAACUACACACAUGAAUAUUCCUUCAGAAACUUUGAAACCAUAGGACUGAGUCAUUUAGAUCUCUUCUUCCAAAUCUCCAUGUAAAAACACCGUCUUAACACCUAACUGAGCCUGACUCUAACUCAUAUUCCAAAACUAAGGUAAUUUAAAUACAAAUGGAAGUAUUUUUCACAACUAGAGAGAAAAUAUCUCCAUUCUGAGUAAAUCCUUCUGCUACAAGCCUUGCUUUAUAAUGAAGAGUUACUUAUUUUAGAGAUCCUUGCUUCUCGGUGUAGCCUCAUUUAUUGCCAAUAGCCCUCAAUCCUUUAGGUAACUUUACGAGUUUCUCAACAAUUCUUCACUUGAAUUGUUUCUCUCAAUUUUUUGGGAUACUUUCAAUGAACAAUUGCUCCUCUAUUUAUAGCUGAACCUUGCCAUGCAUGCUAGCCAUUUUCAAAGUAAAAGUCUUGGCACUUUUCAAAUUUUCAAGGUUCGGUGCCAACCUUGGCGGCACAUUCAACCUUUCUAUGCUAUGUUUAAUCAAAGUCAAAGAGGUUGCGUGUGCUCAAAAAUAUCUUCCCAUCGAUCUUCCAAUCCAGCAUGUUCGUUUCACAGCUUCAAUGAAAGUCUUUAAAUCAGUAUACUUCAAAAGAUUAAUAAUCUUGCUCCGCUGUUCCCAACUAUCAUCAAUAUAGUGUAGUUAAUUUCACGAGAAAAUACUCAUCUUCAACUCUAUUUUUUUCUAAACUAAAACGACAUGACAGUUUACUAAGAAAAUGGCCAAAUUUUAUCUUCUCUUCUUGGUAGACUUGGAGUAUUUCAACCUUUUUGAAGUUUAGAAAACAAAGAUCCUCGGUAAUAUUUCCUUCGGCAUUAAAGGUGUGUGUUUAAUAUUAUCAUCUAAAUCUCCUGUUUGAUUGAUUUAUCUUGAUCACCACCAAUAUUAAUUUUAUCACCUUUUCUCUUAUCUCGGCUUUUCUUUGACACCAACUGAUUCUUGAGAUGUGUGGUUCCUUUCUUGCUUGAACCAUCCAACUCCUUUUCGCAAAUAUUACAUAUAGACCAUUCCAUUCCAUCUUGUCCUUUAUACUUUCUGAACUCAUCCCAAACAUUUGACUUCAACUUUCUUCUUUUGGUUUCCUGUUAAAUUUAACAUUUGCAAGAAUAAUUUUCAUUUUUUAGUAUUGAAAUCAAUUUUUUACUGUUAUAUCAAAUUAAGCAGUUCAUGUGACUAUUUAUGAACCCGAAAGGUUCUAAUUAACCCAUUAAAGCAAUUCUUGGGUGUCUGUUAUUUUAUUUUAUUUUCUCUCAAGAAAAUAACUAUAGAAAAAUAGGAAACAUUUUCUGCUAUUGAAUUAUAUUUUGUGGAAUUAAUUAAUUAUUUUUUUAAAACCUAUAGGGAGAAAGGAAACGCACCUCCAUGGCCAGUACCGCGUCAAAAACUUGAAUUAAUUCAGAGCCUGCAAAACGAACAAUUACAUAUACCACUUACCACAACAAAAGACAUAUCACAUAUAUAUAAAUUAAAGAAGAGCAAAAGCAAUUAAUAAAACAAAUUUAAAAAGAAAAGCAAAAGUAAUUACUAAAACAAAUUUUAAAAAAAUGCGUACUUUAAUUUGAAUGAGAAUUGAAAAUUGGAUCAAUCGGAGAAUUUAUGCCAUAGUCUCAGAUCUAUCUCUCUCAAAUUAGUCUAAUUCUAUGCUAUGACCAUAAUUAUGUGAUUUCAUUUUGUGUGUAGACAUAGAUAUACAAAAUAACCACACACACACACACACACACAAAGGCUUCGAAGCCCGAAUGAAUGAGCAGUAAAGGAGGUAACAUAAACAAUUAAUCAGAUUUAAAUAUGAUAAAAUUAAUUUGAAAAUUAAUGUGAAAGCAAGGGUAAAAGUAUUGAUGGUUGAGAUUUCAAUUCGAAGCAUGCAUCCCAAAUUUAAUUAGAAUUUAAUUUGAGUUUUGAUCGGCAGUAUCCAAAAGAAAGAAAAGGAAAAACCUAAAAAAAGACGAGCAAAGAUAUUAUCAGUACUCAUAAUUAAGAUAAACUGCUAUGCCUCCUACAAAAUCAAGCAAAUUAAUGAGGAUAUCAUGUAUAUACUAGUUAUUGGACUUUAAUUUUGUCCAAUGAAUUUUAUAUUUUGUUUCGUGUAUUACUCCUUUCUUAAUUAUGCGAUUUCAUUGUGUGUUUAGACGUAGAUAUACAAAAUAUAUAUAGACAAAAGGCUUCGAAGGUCGAACGAAUGAGCAGUAUAGGAGGUAAUAUAAUUAUAUAAACAACUGAUCAAAUUAAAAUCUGGUAAAAUUAAUUUGAAAAUUAAUGUGAAAGCAAGCCAAAAAGUAUUUGAUGGUUGAAAAUUCAAUUGUAUCCAUCCCAAAUUUAUUUGGAAUUUAAUUUGACUUUUGAUCGGUAGGAUUCAAAAAAAAAAAAAAAAGGAAAAAAAUGAAAAACCAGAAAAAAGAUGGCAAUGAUAUUGUCAUUAUUCAUAAUUAAGAGAAACUGUCAUGCCUCCUACAAAAUCAAGCAAUGAUAAUAUCAUGUAUAUGCUAGUUAUUACCUUUAAUUUUGUCCAGUGAAUUUUAUAUUUUGUUUCGUACAAGUUAUUACUCCUUUCCUUUUUCUAGGUUAAUUUUAUUUUUUUUAAUUUUUUUGAAAUAGGAUCUUUAUGGACUUGAAAGAAUAUAGGCAAAUUAAAUGUCUUUGGUUGGGUUUACAUAUAUAAAUAUGACAGAAAAGCACCGGCGUCUAUAGAGAUUAAACAACACAUUCUUCAAUCUGUAUUUGCAUCAUAGCCAUCACCAACUAACCAACAUUACAGCCAUGGAUGAAGAAAGCACUGAACCGUUUGAAUGGCCGAGUGUGAUCUUUCCUUUAUGUUUCACCUUGACCCUUGGAUUCAUGGCUUUAUUCUAUAUAUGUUCCAGUUAAAACCGAGCUUCCUCCUUCAGUUUAUGUUUUUUCUUUUGCCCUUCUGCGCACGUUGCUUAUUCUCUUCGUUUCCAGACUGAUCUCCCAAAAACAUCCAUUUGCUUCCCAAGUCAUGGAGAUAGUUUCUUAUCUACCAGGGGUGAAGUAUGCUUCUUGGGCAACAAACUGAUCUUGGGAAGCCAAUGGAUGUUUGUGGGAGAUGAGUUUGGAAGCAAAAAGAAUAAGAAACGUGAGCAGAAGGGCAACAGAAUCAACAUAAACUGAACGAGAAAGCUCGGUUUUAACUGAAGCAUAAGAUAAAGCGAUGAAUUCAGGGACCGAGUUGAAACAAAAAGGAACAAUCGCACUCGGGCAUUCAAACUUUUUUGUGGUUUCUUCGUCCAUGGCAGUGAUGUUUCUCAGUUGGUGAUGGCUUUUAUUUUAACGAAGAUCGAAGAAUGUUGCGUUGUUUAAUCUCUGUAAAUGCAGGUUCCUGCUCUUUCCAUCACAUAUAUAGACUCUAAUAUAGAUGGCGCACAUGGGAGAAAUAUUGUGACCAAAUCCCUAGCUAAUGUUCAUCUAUUUGAUUAUAGAUAGAAAAUGCUUGUUACCCAAACCCCAGCGUAUUAAUCAAUUUUACAUAUUUGGAAACUUGGUCUCUAGCUGUUUGAUGGUGACGCCAAAUGUCAUAUCGGUCCUCUUAAAAAAGGGAUUUGUUGGUGGCCGAAAUGUGAUUGGAUCUUUCCUAAUUUUUUGUUGAGAAAUUGGAUAAAAUGGCCAUUGAAACAGUGGCGGAUCUAAAAGAAUAAUUUAUCGGGGACUAAAUUAGAUAAUAGUAAAAUAUA
This 26897-nucleotide long non-coding RNA is filed under the name Citrus x clementina. Its description in RNAcentral is "Citrus clementina (C. clementina) long non-coding RNA (CCLE_LNC004509)". Lineage: Eukaryota; Viridiplantae; Streptophyta; Magnoliopsida; Sapindales; Rutaceae. The record is from RNAcentral.